CUACGGGAUGCUGCAGUGAGGAAUAUUGCACAAUGGGGGGAACCCUGAUGCAGCAACGCCGCGUGGAGGAUGACGCAUUUCGGUGUGUAAACUCCUUUUAUAUGUCAAGAAAAUGACGGUAGCAUAUGAAUAAGCACCGGCUAACUCCGUGCCAGCAGCCGCGGUAAUACGGAGGGUGCAAGCGUUACUCGGAAUCACUGGGCGUAAAGGACGCGUAGGCGGGUUGGAAAGUCAGGUGUGAAAUCCUACAGCUUAACUGUAGAACUGCACUUGAAACUUCUAAUCUAGAGUAUGGGAGGGGGAGAUGGAAUUAGUGGUAUAGGGGUAAAAUCCGUAGAUAUCACUAGGAAUACCUAAAGCGAAGGCGAUCUCCUGGAACAUUACUGACGCUAAGGCGUGAAAGCGUGGGGAGCAAACAGGAUUAGAUACCCGGUAGUC
Molecule: ribosomal RNA, 438 nt
Filed under: uncultured bacterium
Lineage: Bacteria
Description: partial 16S ribosomal RNA
Rfam family: Bacterial small subunit ribosomal RNA
Source: RNAcentral